CGCAGCCGCGGUAAUUCCAGCUCCAAUAGCGUAUAUUAAAGUUGUUGCAGUUAAAAAGCUCGUAGUUGAAUUUCGGGAUCGAUUUACUGGUCGUGCUAUUGUACGUACUGGUUUUAUUGGUUCCUCCCUUCUGACGAACCUUGAUGCCAUUAAUUUGGUGUCUUGGGAAAUCAGGACUGUUACUUUGAAAAAUUAGAGUGUUUAAAGCAAGCUCACGCUUGAAUACAUUAGCAUGGAAUAACGGAAUAGGACGUUUGAUUCUAUUUUGUUGGUUUCUAGGAUCGACGUAAUGAUUAAUAGGGAUAGUUGGGGGCAUUAGUAUUCAAUUGUCAGAGGUGAAAUUCUUGGAUUUAUUGAAGACUAACUACUGCGAAAGCAUUUGCCAAGGAUGUUUUCAUUAAUCAAGAACGAAAGUUAGGGGAUCGAAGACGAUCAGAUACCGUCGUAGUC
Molecule: ribosomal RNA, 450 nt
Filed under: uncultured Glomus
Lineage: Eukaryota; Fungi; Glomeromycota; Glomeromycetes; Glomerales; Glomeraceae
Description: SSU rRNA
Rfam family: Eukaryotic small subunit ribosomal RNA
Source: RNAcentral